AUGAACGCUGGCGGCGUGCCUAAUACAUGCAAGUCGAGCGAACAGACGAGGAGCUUGCUCCUCUGACGUUAGCGGCGGACGGGUGAGUAACACGUGGAUAACCUACCUAUAAGACUGGGAUAACUUCGGGAAACCGGAGCUAAUACCGGAUAAUAUAUUGAACCGCAUGGUUCAAUAGUGAAAGACGGUUUUGCUGUCACUUAUAGAUGGAUCCGCGCCGCAUUAGCUAGUUGGUAAGGUAACGGCUUACCAAGGCAACGAUGCGUAGCCGACCUGAGAGGGUGAUCGGCCACACUGGAACUGAGACACGGUCCAGACUCCUACGGGAGGCAGCAGUAGGGAAUCUUCCGCAAUGGGCGAAAGCUUGACGGAGCAACGCCGCGUGAGUGAUGAGGGUCUUCGGAUCGUAAAACUCUGUUAUUAGGGAAGAACAAAUGUGUAAGUAACUAUGCACGUCUUGACGGUACCUAAUCAGAAAGCCACGGCUAACUACGUG
RNAcentral lists this ribosomal RNA (496 nucleotides) under uncultured bacterium. Its description in RNAcentral is "partial 16S ribosomal RNA". It matches the Rfam family "Bacterial small subunit ribosomal RNA", at positions 29 to 507 of the family's 1533-position model. The record is from RNAcentral.